Molecule: small nuclear RNA, 310 nt
Filed under: Erinaceus europaeus (western European hedgehog)
Lineage: Eukaryota; Metazoa; Chordata; Mammalia; Eulipotyphla; Erinaceidae
Description: 7SK RNA (ENSEEUG00000022028.1)
Rfam family: 7SK RNA
About the family: 7SK was discovered as an abundant small nuclear RNA in the mid-70s but a possible function has only recently been suggested. Two independent studies have found that 7SK RNA binds the CDK9/cyclin T complex (known as elongation factor P-TEFb). P-TEFb activates transcription by phosphorylating the C-terminal domain of RNA polymerase II.
Source: RNAcentral
GGAUGUGAGAUCUGGCUGCAACAUAUGUCACCCCAUUGAUCUCCAGGGUUGAUUCCGCUGAUCUGGCUGGCUAGGCGGGUGUCCCCUUCUUCCCUCACCAUUCCAUGUGCUUCCCUCCCAAAGCUGUGCACUUAAUUGAAGAGGAAGGCCUUCCCCUAAUGGAGACAGACCGGUCUUUGGCUGAGGGUAUAUGAGUAGCUGUGCUCCCAUGCUAGAACCUCCAAACGAGCUCUAAAAUAGGCCUACUAACUAUCUAUAAAACAGACCCCAAAAUCUUCAUCUGCAAUAAUGCUGCCUUUAGGUUAAUGAU